UACUCCUACGGGAGGCAGCAGUGGGGAAUUUUGGACAAUGGGCGCAAGCCUGAUCCAGCCAUGCCGCGUGUCUGAAGAAGGCCUUCGGGUUGUAAAGGACUUUUGUCAGGGAAGAAAAGGCUGUUGCUAAUAUCGACAGCUGAUGACGGUACCUGAAGAAUAAGCACCGGCUAACUACGUGCCAGCAGCCGCGGUAAUACGUAGGGUGCGAGCGUUAAUCGGAAUUACUGGGCGUAAAGCGAGCGCAGACGGUUACUUAAGCAGGAUGUGAAAUCCCCGGGCUCAACCUGGGAACUGCGUUCUGAACUGGGUGACUAGAGUGUGUCAGAGGGAGGUAGAAUUCCACGUGUAGCAGUGAAAUGCGUAGAGAUGUGGAGGAGUACCGAUGGCGAAGGCAGCCUCCUGGGAUAACACUGACGUUCAUGCUCGAAAGCGUGGGUAGCAAACAGGAUUAGAUACCCUGGUAGUCCACGCCCUAAACGAUGUCAAUUAGCUGUUGGGCAACUUGAUUGCUUAGUAGCGUAGCUAACGCGUGAAAUUGACCGCCUGGGGAGUACGGUCGCAAGAUUAAAACUCAAAGGAAUUGACGGA
RNAcentral lists this ribosomal RNA (591 nucleotides) under uncultured bacterium. RNAcentral's name for it is "bacterial SSU rRNA". It matches the Rfam family "Bacterial small subunit ribosomal RNA", at positions 334 to 917 of the family's 1533-position model. The record is from RNAcentral.